CUGGCAUAUAGAGUGCUCAAUAAAUGUGAAAUGCUCUUACUCCACAUAUCAGAAAUUUAGAAACAGCCAAAUGUUUAAUGACAGAAUACUUCAAAAGAUUAUGGUAAAUUUAUACAACAGCAUAUUAUUAUACAGUCAUUAAAAUGUUGCUCAUGAAGUUUUAAUGAUGUUGGGAUAAUGCUUAUAUUAAGUGAAAAAGCAUGAUAUAAAAUUGAAUAUAUAGUAUGAUUUCAAUUAUGUAAAAUAUACUUCAAUAUGUAGAAAAAGAUCUAGCAGAAAGCAUACUAAAAUAUUAAAAGUGAUCAUUUUGGAUAGUAGUAUUUGACCUGCUUGCUAUUUUCUUCUUUAUACUUUUCUAUCAUCGAUCUUUUUUUUUUUUUUUUUACAGUAAGGAAAAUAUUGCUUUUAAAAUCAGGAAAACACCAUAAUUUUAAAAUGUUAAAGUAACAAAU
This 452-nucleotide long non-coding RNA is filed under the name Homo sapiens (human). Its description in RNAcentral is "HSALNT0070478". The record is from RNAcentral. Lineage: Eukaryota; Metazoa; Chordata; Mammalia; Primates; Hominidae.